CAGAGGUUGUUAUUCCUGAUCAGGCACUUGUCUUGGAUUGGGUUUUUGCUGAUGGUCCACCCAAGCAUGCCAUUGCUUAUGAUAACAAUCACCGCCAAGACUUCCAUGCCAUUGUCCCCAAGCAGAUUCCGGAGGAAUUAUAUUGGGUUGAGGAAGAACAUCAGAUCUUUAAGAAACUUCAGGAGGAGAGAAGGCUUAGAGAAGCCGCUAUGCGUGCUAAGGCUGAAAAAACAGCACUUCUGAAAGCUGAAACAAAGGAAAGAACUAUGAAAUCAUUUUUACUAUCUCAGAAGCAUGUAGUAUAUACUGAGCCUCUUGAUAUCCAAGCUGGAAGCAGCGUCACAGUUUACUAUAAUCCCGCCAAUACAGUACUUAGUGGUAAACCUGAAAUUUGGUUCAGAUGUUCAUUUAAUCGCUGGACACACCGCCUAG
This 432-nucleotide unclassified non-coding RNA is filed under the name Hevea brasiliensis (rubber tree). Lineage: Eukaryota; Viridiplantae; Streptophyta; Magnoliopsida; Malpighiales; Euphorbiaceae. The record is from RNAcentral.